GACGAAUGUUGGCGGCGUACUUAACACAUGCAAGUCGAACGGAAAGGCCCUGCUUUUGUGGGGUGCUCGAGUGGCGAACGGGUGAGUAACACGUGAGUAACCUGCCCUUGACUUUGGGAUAACUUCAGGAAACUGGGGCUAAUACCGGAUAGGAGCUCCUGCUGCAUGGUGGGGGUUGGAAAGUUUCGGCGGUUGGGGAUGGACUCGCGGCUUAUCAGCUUGUUGGUGGGGUAGUGGCUUACCAAGGCUUUGACGGGUAGCCGGCCUGAGAGGGUGACCGGCCACAUUGGGACUGAGAUACGGCCCAGACUCCUACGGGAGGCAGCAGUGGGGAAUAUUGCACAAUGGGCGGAAGCCUGAUGCAGCAACGCCGCGUGCGGGAUGACGGCCUUCGGGUUGUAAACCGCUUUCGCCUGUGACGAAGCGUGAGUGACGGUAAUGGGUAAAGAAGCACCGGCUAACUACGUGCCAGCAGCCGCGGUGAUACGUAGGGUGCGAGCGUUGUCCGGAUUUAUUGGGCGUAAAGGGCUCGUAGGUGGUUGAUCGCGUCGGAAGUGUAAUCUUGGGGCUUAACCCUGAGCGUGCUUUCGAUACGGGUUGACUUGAGGAAGGUAGGGGAGAAUGGAAUUCCUGGUGGAGCGGUGGAAUGCGCAGAUAUCAGGAGGAACACCAGUGGCGAAGGCGGUUCUCUGGGCCUUUCCUGACGCUGAGGAGCGAAAGCGUGGGGAGCGAACAGGCUUAGAUACCCUGGUAGUCCACGCUGUAAACGGUGGGUACUAGGUGUGGGGUCCAUUCCACGGGUUCCGUGCCGUAGCUAACGCUUUAAGUACCCCGCCUGGGGAGUACGGCCGCAAGGCUAAAACUCAAAGGAAUUGACGGGGCCCCGCACAAGCGGCGGAGCAUGCGGAUUAAUUCGAUGCAACGCGUAGAACCUUACCUGGGUUUGACAUGGAUCGGGAGUGCUCAGAGAUGGGUGUGCCUCUUUUGGGGUCGGUUCACAGGUGGUGCAUGGCUGUCGUCAGCUCGUGUCGUGAGAUGUUGGGUUAAGUCCCGCAACGAGCGCAACCCUUGUUCACUGUUGCCAGCACGUUAUGGUGGGGACUCAGUGGAGACCGCCGGGGUCAACUCGGAGGAAGGUGGGGAUGACGUCAAGUCAUCAUGCCCCUUAUGUCCAGGGCUUCACGCAUGCUACAAUGGCUGGUACAGAGAGUGGCGAGCCUGUGAGGGUGAGCGAAUCUCGGAAAGCCGGUCUCAGUUCGGAUUGGGGUCUGCAACUCGACCUCAUGAAGUCGGAGUCGCUAGUAAUCGCAGAUCAGCAACGCUGCGGUGAAUACGUUCCCGGGGCU
RNAcentral lists this ribosomal RNA (1346 nucleotides) under uncultured bacterium. RNAcentral describes it as "partial 16S ribosomal RNA". It matches the Rfam family "Bacterial small subunit ribosomal RNA", at positions 28 to 1381 of the family's 1533-position model. The record is from RNAcentral.